Molecule: long non-coding RNA, 701 nt
Organism: Anopheles stephensi (Asian malaria mosquito)
Lineage: Eukaryota; Metazoa; Arthropoda; Insecta; Diptera; Culicidae
Exons: 2
Source: RefSeq, a predicted model, not a curated record
GUUGUGUUGUGUCUAUUGUAGUCGAACCUGCUGUUGUACCCCUAUUGAGGGUGGAUAAAAUCGAUAUCAUGUUUCUCAUGGCAAACCGCGGUGUCGCUGGCGGGAAAACACUCUCGAACCGUAAACGGAGCAAACGAGUUGCAAAAAGUUGUUCUCCCCAGGCAGCCGUAUAAGGCGGCAAAAAAAAAGGUCAAGGGUAUCACGUAGACACCGCGCGACGGUGAGGUACGCGUCACGAUCAAUCAAGAAGGCACUAGAUCCAUCAAUUGUGGCACUCAACUCACUCAAUCUUCACUCACUGGCUGCUGGGCGAGCUAGCGUUGAACUUCGUUUAACGAUCAUUUCCCCGAGGAUCGUAUGGAAAAUACCGCGCGCUUGAGGAGGACCUGUCCACGCCGUCUGUGCACUUACUCACCUCACAGAGAGGGGCGACACUUGCCCUUAUGAUCGACACGAUAGCCCGGUUUGCAGACCGUCGGUGCAAGAAGAAUGUUUAUCUGCAAAAAACACACAUACGGUAGGGUUUUUACGAACAUUCCUCACCCCGAUGCAGCCCACCCCGUUACCCGUACCAUCGACGGUAGAUGUCCGCCAUCCGAAUCCGAUCCUUCCGUUUCCUGCUGCUGCUGCUCCGUAACCGGUGCCGCUUCUUCGUUCGCUUCCGUUUCAGCUUCCGGUGCCGGUGUGAUUUGAUCUUCCUG